RNAcentral lists this ribosomal RNA (264 nucleotides) under Triticum aestivum (bread wheat). RNAcentral's name for it is "partial small subunit ribosomal RNA". Lineage: Eukaryota; Viridiplantae; Streptophyta; Magnoliopsida; Poales; Poaceae. The record is from RNAcentral.
AUGAGAUAAAAGAUCCUCUUUCUAAAGAGAUUCGAUUCGGAACUCUUAUAUGAGUUUUACCUUACUUUGUCUGUGUCAACAAACAAUUCGAAAUACCUCAACUUUUUCAGAACAGGUCCGAGUCAAAUAGCAAUGAUUCGAAGCACUUCUUUUUUCCAUUACACUAUUUCAUAAACCUAAGGACUCGAUCAUAUGGAUAUGGAAAAUACAAGAUUUCCGAUCCUAGCGGGAAAAGGAGGGAAACAGAUACUCAAUUUAAAGUGA